This is a long non-coding RNA of Xiphophorus hellerii (green swordtail), 659 nucleotides long. RefSeq lists it as uncharacterized. The record is from RefSeq and is a predicted model, not a curated record. NCBI's taxonomy places the organism in Eukaryota, Metazoa, Chordata, Actinopteri, Cyprinodontiformes, Poeciliidae. The transcript has 2 exons.
AGCUCCAUGCUUUUGAGACACAACAAACCUUUUGUGCCACUGUGAGUGAGUUUCAACCUCUGCAUGGUCCAGUUAUUACUUCAUUCAACCAGGAGCACAGCAACAUUGUUUUUACAUUUGGUUUUUACACAUUUGAUGAAAAUUAUACUUUACUUUGUGCUUUCCAGUCAGUUUCAAAUCACUCAAGAUUUCCACUGAAGGUUUGUUUCACCCAUAGAGAACUUUCAUUCAGGAGGAAAAGUUUUGUUUGGAGUCCUUGAAAGACAGCAGGUCUCAGACUGAAACUAAACUUGAAACUGAUGUUUUGUGUUUUCUUUUAUUCGAGUAUACCUGAUGAAGAGAGCUGUCUGUUAUCUAUUUACACCCAGGACCUAAAUGUGAAACGACCCUUGUUAACCCCACCGCUGACUGACAGUGCAAUCUUACAGCUAACCUCUGUACUGUAAUCAGUCCAUGUGUGUUGUUUGAAGCUGUGGUAUGUAUGAGUCAGAUUUGACUACUUUAUGUCACGUGUUUGCCUGUCUGCUGUUCAAGUAUUAAUUAAUUGUGUAAAAUUUUUGUUCAUGUGUUUUCUUUUUAGGUUCUGUUUACUGUUACAGGAUGUAUAUAAUGAACAUGUGCAGUGCACAAAAAUAAACAGUAAACAGAGUGAAACAUCA